GCGAUCUUGGCCGAGUGGUUAAGGCGUUGGAUUUAAGGGACACCCUUUUGUCUCCCAAUAGGAUUCAUCCUGCGAGAGUUCGACCCUCUCAGAUCGCA
Saitozyma sp. JCM 24511 is the source of this 98-nucleotide non-coding RNA. The record is from the annotation of a GenBank genome assembly. NCBI's taxonomy places the organism in Eukaryota, Fungi, Basidiomycota, Tremellomycetes, Tremellales, Trimorphomycetaceae.